UAGGGAAUCUUCGGCAAUGGGGGGAACCCUGACCGAGCAACGCCGCGUGAGUGAAGAAGGUUUUCGGAUCGUAAAGCUCUGUUGUUAAGGAAGAACGAGUGUGAGAAUGGAAAGUUCAUACUGUGACGGUACUUAACCAGAAAGGGACGGCUAACUACGUGCCAGCAGCCGCGGUAAUACGUAGGUCCCGAGCGUUGUCCGGAUUUAUUGGGCGUAAAGCGAGCGCAGGCGGUUAGAUAAGUCUGAAGUUAAAGGCAGUGGCUCAACCAUUGUAGGCUUUGGAAACUGUUUAACUUGAGUGCAGAAGGGGAGAGUGGAAUUCCAUGUGUAGCGGUGAAAUGCGUAGAUAUAUGGAGGAACACCGGUGGCGAAGGCGACUUGCUGGACUUCAACUGACGCUGAGGAACGAAAGCGUGGGUAGCAAACAGG
RNAcentral lists this ribosomal RNA (429 nucleotides) under Bacteroidota bacterium. RNAcentral's name for it is "Bacteroidetes bacterium partial 16S ribosomal RNA". It matches the Rfam family "Bacterial small subunit ribosomal RNA", at positions 355 to 776 of the family's 1533-position model. Lineage: Bacteria; Pseudomonadati; Bacteroidota. The record is from RNAcentral.